This is a long non-coding RNA of Ictalurus punctatus (channel catfish), 3152 nucleotides long. Lineage: Eukaryota; Metazoa; Chordata; Actinopteri; Siluriformes; Ictaluridae. The record is from Ensembl.
GCGCCCACACCCUUCAUCGCCUAAUAACCUUACCAAAGUAACUUAAGGAGGACAACAUUCAUUUGUCUUACUAGUGCCCGAAAGGCUGGUUUGAGUAUUUCAGAACCUGCUGAUCUCCUGAGAUUUUCAUGUAAUACAUAAAAGCGAACAAAUAAACACAUCUAAGUGAGUUCUGUGGGAGAAGACAGCUUCUCGAGGAGAGCUAAGAGGACGAUGGCCAGACUGGUUUGAUCUGACAAGAACGCUGUGUUUACUCAAAUCGCCACUCUUUACAACCAGGAAAAGCAUCUCAGAAUGUACAACGCGCCGGACCCUGAGGAGGCUAGAACGGCAGAAGACCACACUGGGAUCCACUCCUGGCUGCAGGAAUCUGAGGCUACAGUCAGCACUUGCUCGCUAAAACCGGACACUCGGUUGGACAUUCGAUAAGAUUCAACAAGCUGUCGCUUCUACUUUUAAUCUUUAACCGCCCAGUUUCUUUACCUGAAGCCAUGGGGUUGGCUAAUUGGUCAACUGCACAGAUGAGCAGGUGUACAAGUGUUCCUAAUAAAGUGGCAGAGGACUGUAUGAAAUGUUAACGAGACUGUUUCCUGUUGUGUACAACAAUGCGAAUGUGUUAGAUUAUGCACACUGGAAAUGCACCUGCACAGACAGUAUUUCAAAUUUUCAUGAAGCAGUGGUAGCUCAAUGGUUCAGGUUCAGUGGUAAAGAUUGGGAUUAAGGUUGGGGUUAAGGUUGGGGUUAAGAUUAAGGUUCAGUAUUUAAGCUUAAGGUUGGGGUUAAGAUUAAGGGUUAGCAGUUUUUUAAUAAGAUUAUCGGGAUCAAUGUUCGAUUCAUUGUGCAGCCCUAAUGAGUGAUGACAUAAAUUCAUCCAUAAUGUAAUUGUAUAUGCGACGAUAAAGGCUUUCUAAUGUCCAAAUCAGCAUGAAAAUGCUUCGAUAGUCAACUGUUAAAAAUUAUGAACUGUAUUCUAUCACAUGGAUUAACACUGUUAUUAUUGAGGACUUUUUUUUUUUUUAUCUCAAUAAUACAGUCUGUGCUGCAACACUUACAUUUUUCCCGUCCUUUAGUGUCAGUACUUCACAGAUUGGCCACUAGAGGGAGGCAGAGCAUCAGACAUCAUCUUGAGCUUGGAUAGGGAGGAGACACCACGGUAGGACAUGGCUCAUUACUAAAUCUAACCCAAGCACAGAAAAGAGCUGGCAGGAAGAAGCAAGGAAAAAUAAACAAAACUCACAGAGCAUGAAAUCGCUACGGUAUUUACAGCCUUUAGCGGGUGGGCAUUUAGACCGGUGUCCUGCAGGACCAAGCCAACAAAUCAAACCCUCCACAGGAUAUGUAAACUUCAGGCUUCAUUACCAACACAUCGCUUAACCGGCUGUAUAACACCCAGGUCUCUACAUGUCCUGCCUUCAGGAUUUGAUCUGUGCCAAAAAAGAUUAGCCGUUGAUUUUAUUUAAGAGUCUUUAAAGGAAUCCCAACCAUGCCUUGUUUUUCAGGAGAAAAUCGCCUGGAGUUAAAGGACAGACAGGUGUUGACCCUUCACCCCUAAAACUUGACCUUGCACGUAUAGAUGAGAUAAACGGUGCCGAGUGGGUGGGGUCUAAUCCUCGUCACGCCGCCGGGGUCUGACAUACGAGUGAGACGAAUCAAAAAUGUAAAAACCAGUCGGACCGCUCGAGGUGCAUUCAGCCCUGAAGCAUGUUAAGCCCUUCUCGGUCGUUUAUACUCCCUAAAACCUGUGCAUGACUCACACGCACGCGCACACACCCAUGCUCGAAAGAUAUUACGCACUAACAAAGGAGCUUUUAAAAGCGUGUACUAUUAUUAACGCUGUACAAAUAUAUAAAACAAUUACCAUACAGAGGAAGUGGAUUAUCUCAAAUACUAGGUUCAUGAUGGACAGGUAGCAUGUGCUCACGUCCUGUAGUGUGCGUGUGUGUCCGAGUGUGUGUUUCAGAGUGGGGGUAAAAGUGGAAGGGGGUGGAGGGUCGGGGUUUUCUAGGUUCCAUCUGUUUCUUCGGACAUCCCGUUGACACUCUUUCCCUUUCCUGUGAACUGGUGUCUUUAUUCUCUCGACACGUUUCCAGGAAACGCGGCGGUACAGAAUCCCGACGCAGACGGACGGACGGGCGACGUUCUUCAAGCACCGCUUUCCACGCGGCUGAGGGAGGGUGCUUUUAUAUAGGAUCUCCGCUAGACUCGUAGUCGUAUAGUAAGCGAUCUUGAGAGUAGUGGUUGUUGUUCCCGUCAUCCCACCGAGCCCACGAAUUCGGUUUCUAUCCACUUUAUUAGGAACACCUGUACACCUAGACUUUCGUGCAAUUUCCCGAUCGGCAAUUAAUCCAAACAUCAGGAUAGGGGGAAAACAUUUGAUCUCAGUUCGUCUGACCGUGGAAGGCUGGUUUGAGUAUUUCAGAAACUGCUGAUCUGUGAUUUUCACACGACGGUCUCGCGAUCCAGUAAACGGCAGCUCUGUGGGCUGACGAGACAGGCCCGAGAAGAACGGCUAGACGGGUUUCGAAGCUGACCGGAAGUCUAUGAGGACUCAAAGAACCGCUCUUUGUGGUUGAAUCGCUUGGCAGCAGGGCCUCUGAUUUAUACGUCUGUACAGGGAGGAAUGGUAUGCAAAGCUGUAGAAUGCGAUAGCUGCAAUGCUGCGAUGAUUAUUUAUAAAGCGGAAUACGGUAUGUCGCUUUAAAAAUAUCUUGCGGCACGGUGACACGCGGGUAUGUUUCACAGGGACGUGACCGUCUUUGCGGAUAUGAGUGAAUGUUAACAGGUUUCCACGUGGACGUAAACUUCCUGGUGAUGGCACGAGUGCUAUAGCGACACAACGGCAUCACGUCCUCUCUCGCGGACGCCUCAGAGCUAAACGUCACGGCGCAGAGACGCACAGGACGGCUGGGUACGCUGAAGGUGCGGGAAGAAUCCGUCAGGAACAUCAGAAGGGAAAAGCGUCUUUCUGUCUGUCUGUCUGUCUACUGAUCUAUCCAUCUGUCGGUCUAUCCAUCGGUCUAUCCAUCUGUCUAUCUAUCUAUCCGUCUGUCUGUCUGUCUUAUCUAUCCGUCUGUCUGUCUGUGUAUCUAUCAGUUUAUCCAUCUUUCUAUCUAUCCAUCUGUCUAUCUAUCCAUCUGUCUGUCUAUCUAUCC